Molecule: long non-coding RNA, 1345 nt
Filed under: Homo sapiens (human)
Lineage: Eukaryota; Metazoa; Chordata; Mammalia; Primates; Hominidae
Description: long intergenic non-protein coding RNA 326
Source: RNAcentral
CUGGCUGUUUUCUUCUCUUCCCGGGAAAUAUGGCCAGAUUAUUGCUGACCUAUCUGGAGGCAACAGGAACAUGGUAAUCUGUUCUUAUUCUAAUGGAUCUUCCAUAACGUUUCCCACAAAGAAUUACUAACCAUUCAUGACCUUCAUCAAAUAACGACUCUGUGGCUACUGAACUCUGCUUUCAACUGGGAGGUGGUUCACAGAUAAGGCUUCCAUUGGAAACAUCACAUAAUGGAUUUUCUCCCCAAGUAUGUUGCCUAUCACUAGGCCUGUCAAAGGUGGAUGCACAUAGACCAAAUCCAGUGGAGUGACUUUUUCCUUUGUAAUUUACCUUCUGUGGAAGGUAGGUAGGAUGUCCUCCAAUGAUGCCCACAUCCUAAUUCAUGGAACCUAUGACUAUGUUAUGUUACACAACAAAAUGGACUUUGUGAUGUAAUUAAGAAGAGAGACAAUCCUAAUCACACAAGACCUUAAAAGCUGAGAACUUCCUCCUGCUGGGGACAGGACAGAUGAGGCAGAAGGGGAGGUUAGGGAGGUUUGAAGAGUGAGAAGAACUUCUGCAGUGGCUGACUUGGAAGAUGAAGGAGGUUAUGAACCAGGGAAUGGGGGCAGCCUCUAGAGGCUGAGAACCUGCUGACACCUACCCACAACCGCUAAGGAAAUGAAGACUUUAAUUCCACAACUGCAUGCAACUAAACUCAGCCAACAACCUGAAUAAGUCGGAAAAAGGCUUCUCCAGAGCCUCCAGAUAAGAGGCCAGGCUGGCGACACCUUGAUUUUGACCUUGUGAGACCUAGAGCAGAGAAACUAGCCAAGAUCACUCAGACUUCUGAUCUACAGAACUGUGAGACCGUAAAUUUAUGUUGUAUUAAGCCACUAAUUGCGUGGGAAUUUGUUACAGGAGCAAUAGAAAAUGAAUACACCUUCUGAUGUAGUUUAAUCAGUUGACAUUAGAUCACGAAGAAGUUUUUUACAAUGAGCAGAACACUCAACCUGAAAGCAGAAUGGAUUGAGUCACUGCAGCGUGGCAGUGGAAUGGUGUUUGAUGUUGGCAAAGGAAACAUGUACUUCUAGACUGGACAGUUUUCCCUUAGUUUACAGUUUCCAAAUAGAGACAUCACUUUGAAAUAACAUGGAGAACAUACAUGGAUGUACUGAACGAAGAAUAAAGUCUGUGUUGCAGUCCUGUCUCCAUUGACUUUUACAAAUAUGGCUUUGGAUGAAUCACCUAAGUUUUAUUUUUGAGAAUUUACGCUUACCAUGUAUAAAAUGAUAUUGCUAAUAUGUUUGCUGCCUACCCCAUUGGGUUUUGUGAGGAAUAAAUGAUAAUGCUAAGAAAAAGGCA